AUUGAACGCUGGCGGCAUGCCUUACACAUGCAAGUCGAACGGUAACAGGUCUUCUGAUUCUGACGAGUGGCGAACGGGUGAGUAAUACAUCGGAACGUACCCUGACGUGGGGGAUAACGAGGCGAAAGCUUUGCUAAUACCGCAUCCGAUCUAAGGAUGAAAGCAGUGGACUGCAAGGACUAGUGCGAUUGGCGCCGCCGCUGGCUGAUUAGGUAGUUGGUGGGAUAAAAGCUUACGAAGCCGACGAUCAGUAGCUGGUCUGAGAGGACGACCAGCCACACUGGGACUGAGACACGGCCCAGACUCCUACGGGAGGCAGCAGUGGGGAAUUUUGGACAAUGGGCGAAAGCCUGAUCCAGCAAUGCCGCGUGCAGGAUGAAGGUCUUCGGGUUGUAAGCUGUUUUUGUAGGGAACGACAAGGCUCUGGCUAAUACCUGGGCCACGUGACGGUACCGUAAGAGAAAGCAACGGCUAACUACGUG
This 482-nucleotide ribosomal RNA is filed under the name uncultured bacterium. RNAcentral's name for it is "partial 16S ribosomal RNA". It matches the Rfam family "Bacterial small subunit ribosomal RNA", at positions 30 to 507 of the family's 1533-position model. The record is from RNAcentral.